GAUGAACGCUAGCGGCAGGCCUAACACAUGCAAGUCGAGGGAGGAGCUUUCGGGCUUCGACCGGCGUACGGGUGCGUAACGCGUAUACAAUCUGCCUUUCACAUAGGGAUAGCCCGAAGAAAUUUGGAUUAAUACCUAAUGGUAUAUAGAGGUGGCAUCACCUUUAUAUUAAAGCUGAGGCGGUGAAAGAUGAGUAUGCGUUCUAUUAGCUAGUUGGAGAGGUAACGGCUCCCCAAGGCGACGAUAGAUAGGGGUUCUGAGAGGGAUAUCCCCCACACUGGUACUGAGAUACGGACCAGACUCCUACGGGAGGCAGCAGUGAGGAAUAUUGGACAAUGGUCGGAAGACUGAUCCAGCCAUGCCGCGUGCAGGAAGACGGCCUUAUGGGUUGUAAACUGCUUUUGCAGGGGAAGAAUAAGGACUACGCGUAGUUUGAUGACGGUACUCUGCGAAUAAGCAUUGGCUAACUCCGUG
RNAcentral lists this ribosomal RNA (474 nucleotides) under uncultured bacterium. RNAcentral describes it as "partial 16S ribosomal RNA". It matches the Rfam family "Bacterial small subunit ribosomal RNA", at positions 28 to 507 of the family's 1533-position model. The record is from RNAcentral.